RNAcentral lists this long non-coding RNA (5011 nucleotides) under Pomacea canaliculata. RNAcentral describes it as "uncharacterized LOC112570257, transcript variant X5". Lineage: Eukaryota; Metazoa; Mollusca; Gastropoda; Architaenioglossa; Ampullariidae. The record is from RNAcentral.
AAUUUAUAGUUCAGAAUUUUCGCGCUCAGGUUAGAGAGACUCUUGGAUACUCUGUAGGCUGCUGAUUAGUGUGCUCAACUGUGUUCAAGGCCUGCGGCUGGAACCCCCCCCCCCCAUUCCCGAGUAUCCAGCAAUUGCCUAAUGCAACAAAUAGAUACCACAUGUAUCAGAGAAGAUAAAGAUGUUGGAAGCUCACCCCUACUACUAAAACACCAGACACAGAUAAUUUACUACUGCUACCGUUCAACCACACGCCAUGAUGGCCACCUGGACUCGUUCUCCUUCCUCCUAGUCAGUUGGUGUUUUCGCUCUCAGUUGGACAGGAACUCGCCAUUAUGGAUCCUGUCCACCGUGAGGUCCUGGACGUCAACCACAACUACCUGGUGGAGCGUGUCUGUGCUGCACAUGUCUUGCCACGCCUCGUCAGAGACGACAUCGUCAAUGACGACGAUGUCAAGCAGCUGCAAAGGACGGAAGGACAAGGGCCUCGAGCCGUUAACCGCUUGAUGCUGCUGACACUUCGCCGCAGAGGCAGCUGUGCGUACGCGGCCUUGCACCGUGCCCUCCGAGACGCGGGGUUAGAUGACGUGUGCGACACUUUGCUGGACACCGAGCUCGCUCUUCGGGAGGGUCUUGCAGCCGACAGGAUCGGAUCCAUGGAAAGAAGCUCGUAACCUUGGAAACAGAUGCCCAGAUACCAAAUGACAUGAAGGUGGCCGCCACAACAAAAGUCGAGAGUCCCUCGCCGAGCGCAAGUUCCGAGAGCAGACUGGAUCCACCCGUGGACAGUCAGCAGGCACCUGAGUCAGCAGGUACCCCAGUCAGCAGGUCCCCGAGUCAGCAGGUACCCGAGUCAGCCGUCUCCCCUGUCAACUCACAGGAAGAUGUGGAGAGAGACCAGCGAAUCCGAGACCUGGAACAGGAAGUCAACAAGCUGCGACUCACUCACGACACGAUGGAAGCGGAAUUUAAAAAGCAACUGGAAAAACUUGAGCAAGGACAAAAUGAAAAAGGAAAAGGUGGAGGUUGUUUGGUCAUGUGACAACAUUUUGCUAUCAUUUUGCCACAGGAUGUUUGCUACCUCCAGUGUAAUUGUGCGACCGACGGGUAUGUUCUUACUAAAGUGUGAUUUGAUGAAUCUUCCUUUAAAAUGUAGAAGUGGCCACCAGAAUACAAACAUUUCUUCUUCAGAAAAUUGUUCUUGGAGACAACAUGUGUGUGAAGAGGACUUUACUGAGAACUUACAUUUUCAACGGACUGCUCUACUGUGAUCACGUGACCCAGGAAACCCGCCUCUGGGGCUGGCACGUCGGCUUGGUUGGCGCAUGCGCUUUGACAGAUCUGGCCAAAAAUUGAUUGACUUUCGCCAUAAAUAAGCAGUUUUUCUUUCAACCGAAAUUCUCUUGAGAACAAAGUGUGCAUAGAACGCCAGAAUUCAAUUUAUUGGUCAGAUUGGCCUCUGCUCGUGUGCAGACCUCGCAGUCGCGUGUUUGUGAUCUCGCGACAAUCACGUGACCUAGACGGGACGUCUGACGAGGACGAGAAGAAAAAAAGUGAGGACGGGAGAGGUUCAGUUGAUUCCCCUUCUUUCUCACAUGUGCAUUCAUGGAUUAAUUACCACGGGAACAAAGUCUCAUAUGUGUUCGUGUGUGUGUGUGAUUGCAUGCCCGUGCUCACACAUAUACACAUGCGCACACACACACACACGCAGAUGCAUAAUUGGAUUGCAUCGGUGAUGGCAUUUUGAUCCUCAUGGGAUCUCGCUUCCAAAAAAAAAAUGUUCACUAAUAUAUAAGCGUAUGACAUCUAUCCUGAAUUAUUUUUUAAUGGGAUGUAUGGCGCUGCCUCACACACAUUCUAAGAGCGACAAGAAUCUUAAACUGUUCCCAAGGUCCACACCUAUCCGCCUGCCAUUUUGCCAUUACCAUGCCGCAGACGUGUUGCCAUUGUGGAAGCCUGUGUUCUAUGCUUCUAAAGUUCCUGGAUUUUUGUGGUUUUUUUUUUGUUUUUGUUUGUUUCUUCCCCAUCAACACUGACUGCAGCUUUCAGGCAGCCUCGCCUCCGGCGAACUUGCUUUGUUUUGCCGUGCACAGCGUUUACCUCCUCCAUUCAUGUUUCAGGUUCAUUAAGCUGGCAUCAUACGGUUCGAGCCGUUGGAGGGAAAUAAGCAAGAGGCAAGUGCGAAGAAAUGACGAAACAUUUUCAUAAGAAACGUCUGCGACGACAGUUUUUCCCACAAUCCCCUCCUCUUAACUGCACCAAGGAGGACGUACAGGGCGGGGAAGCCUUUGUCGUGGAUUUGAGAAAAUUUUCAUAACUGCUCUCUGGCCGCAUAUUUCAUCCGCAUUAAUCAGAUCGUGUGAAGGUGGCUUUACCCAUGGCCGAUCCAGUGAAUUCUGUAGUGAGUGAAAUAGUUGGAUGUGAAGAAUAUUGCAUCCUUCAAGCCCUCCGUACAAUGAAACCUCAUUAUUCUGAGGAUGUUGUGUAUUCAUUAGGUACUAGACAUACUUGAUAGUAAUAUAUUAUUUUAUUAUUAUUAUUAUUAUUAUUAUUAUUAUUAUUAUUAAAGAGAAAGACUUUGGCUAUAGGUCUGGACAAAGAACUGAACAGAUCAUCGAAGAAGAGUUUACGUUCAUCGAAAAAGAAAUAUAAUAAUCGCCUUAGCUCGAGUGGAUUUCUGCCGCUGACUCUUCCAUCUGUGAUUUGUAUUAUUGUGUUUCGAUCUGCCGCUUCAUUUGAGUUAUUAAUGCAUGCGGCAAAACACUGAAACAUGUGUAGCUUGAGGCUCCUUUUAGCUUGACAUGUUGACGCCUCAUGUCCAGAAACAGUCUGAAAGGGUAUUUUGAGUGAUAGGGGAGAUAAAAAAUGUGGAGGCGCCAGCAACUCACUCCCCACAUCCCUCCUUCUCUGUUAUCUCUGUCUUUUUCUCUACAGUUCUGCCUCCUGCUGGCUUCUUUCGUCUCUCACUACCACCCCUGUCUCCAGGCCAUUCCACCUCCCUCUCUGUCGUCCACUCCCUUAGAAUACUUUCUCAAAUUACCACGUUGUCAAAGCUUCUUCUGCAAUGUACAUGGCAAUGCUUCUGCGUUCUUAUUUAUCCAUUCAGAGCCACCAGAAACAUCAUUUAUCAGAGAAUAUCAGCAUUAAAAAAGUAAAAAUACUCCGUAAAACGUUCACAACCCAAAUAUACCCCAAGACUCUCUUGUAGACAAAAAUAAUGUUUCUUGCCAAAUUUGGUGAGGACUACAUUGGCUUUUACAUAAUUUUCCAAGAAGAAGAGCCCCAACCAACUCCCACACACAAAUUUUACCACAAUAUGUAAUAUAAUCGCCUGGUUUAUACCUCCCUCUCUGGAGUUCAAUGCACUAUUCGUCGAGUCUCGGAAGUUUGCGUGUCCUCUGUCAUCCGGUCACCAACCAGUCACCACUGCAACUUCUCAUACCCAUCAUCCGGGCAUCGCCAGAGAGGAAAAGCAUCGUCGCGUGAUGUGAAUGCUUUCCGCUUACCUCGGCCGUCUCGUCAGAUGAUCCUCUUGUUGAAGGUUAGGCGGACCUCAAACCCUCCCACCUCCAUGGUGUCAGCCAUUUUUACUCUCCCACCAUCAGCUUCUGACUCAAAUUUCGUGGGUGGGAGAAAUAGGAUGUUGGUAGUCUUUGCAGCAAUCUUCUUCCCUCCCCUUUUGUAUAUGUUCAUCUGCUUCGCUUUUCCAAACCCUGCACUCAAGAGGGUUGAAGGAAGGGAGGAAAGUGAAAGAAAAGGAGAAGAGAGGUGAAAUUCCUACUCAAAGGUCGGCGCGAGCUGUGGUGAGGGAAAUAUCGCAGGCGGUGUCCGCUUUUGUAAAUUUUGCUGACAUUUUGUGAUAGAAGACGGUGGUGAAAGGGCACUGGACAGCUUGAGAAGCAAUCGGCCCCCAAACAAACGAUCGUGUUUUUCAGAGUUUGAAAUGUGCUGCUGUCUGAUAUUUCCACUUCUUAUCUGUUCUCCCGAUUUCGACCGCCCAUUGCUUGCAGUGGCAGAGAAUUUGUGUGAGUGAAACUUAUGUAAAAAUUUACACAAACACAAUCAAUAAUCAGAUUCGCGGGGAGGGAGAGAGAGAGACCUUUUUCCUCCCCUCAUCAGAGUGUGAUUGCCCAGCCCGAAGGUGACGGGGUAUGGAUUUUCCUUGGGUUUUUCAUACUUUUUUCUUCUUCUUUCUUCUAACAAGACUGAUAUGAGCAUGAAAAAAUUCGAUGCAGUGCGCAUGGGCGAGAUACUGCGCCGGAAGUGAGACCGAGAUGCGGUGGAACAAACACAGGAAGUGCAUUCGGUCAUCGUUUCAUCACGGCGGCAGGUCGGUGAAGGCAGUGAAGAUUAAUUCAUCACUGGAAGGGUGAAGGGCGGAGCAGGAGACAGGCUACUGAGGCAGCUGUGCAGACUACGAAGAAAAACUUCGCCUUGUAAGACGUGAACCGUUGCCAGGAUGACCUUUGUGACAGCUUGUCAUCCGGGCACCUGCUGCACGGGCGCUCAAAGACUUUCAUGCAGUUCCUGAGGAGAUUGGACUUGGCGUUUGUGCACUCAAGAGCAGUAAACCUUACAGCUGUUUACACAAGUUUCUUUUUUUUCUUUUCUUUUGAUUCAUCAUCCUCAUCAUUUCAUUCUCGUCGUCAUUAUCAUUGUAAUCGUCACCAUGAUCCCAUGCGCUUUCAUUCCUCUUUCUCUCUUUCUCUUUCACACACAAACACGCAAGCACCUACAUAUCAAAACAAGCAAACAUACAAAUAUGAAACUUUCCUCUCCACCUCACACAUGGAAGCGCACACACAAACACACACACGUGCAAAAUAAAUAUGACAUUCAUAUUCAUACACAAACCUAUUCAGAAGCAUAGGGACGCUCAUACAAAUUCGUUUAGUGUCGACAAUCAGUUCUGAGUCCCCUGGUUAUGUGUGUUUGUGUCAUCUGAUUAUCUGUUAAUGCGUGCUGGAGAUGGCGAAUUUCCGUCAAUCGUUCUUUUCAGUAAAAAAAAAAA